This 1311-nucleotide ribosomal RNA is filed under the name Triticum aestivum (bread wheat). RNAcentral describes it as "partial small subunit ribosomal RNA". Lineage: Eukaryota; Viridiplantae; Streptophyta; Magnoliopsida; Poales; Poaceae. The record is from RNAcentral.
AUGAAGCUGAACGUGGAAGGGGCUUGGUGGGUGGUAACAAAAUAUGUUGGGCACCACAACCAUGACAUGAUAAAGAAAUUUGACCUUGUGAAGUUUCUGAGCGCUCACCGUGGGUUCACCCCGCAAGAGGAACAGUUCGUGAAGUUGCUGCAUGACUGCAACCUCCAGCCUGGGAGAAUGGUGCACAUCCUCUCAAUGAUUCACAGCAAAAGCGGCAAGCUAAGCAGCCUGCCAUACCUGCCUUCAGAUGUGGUAAACCUGGUAGCAAAGUAUCGCAGGGAAAGUCAAUUAUCAGACAUGGACGACACAAUUGCAUACUUCAUGCAGAAGGAGAAAGAAGAUCCAGAUUUCUUCUACAGAAUAAAACUGGAUGAUGAGGACCGCGUUGUGAACAUGUACUGGAUAGAUGGUGCAGCGCGCAGGUCUUACAGGCACUUUCGUGACUGUGUGUCGUUCGAUGCGACGUAUCUAACUAACAUGUACAAGAUGUCGUGCUGUCCAUUCAUUGGGAUAAACAACCACAAUACGAGCAGCUAUGUUUGGCUGUUCAAAACAUUUCUGGAAUGCAUGGGCGGCCUCGCGCCAAUGAACAUCAUAACAGACCAGGAUUUCGGGAUGCAUGGAGGCAUUGAGGACGUGUUCCCAACAACCAUACACAGGCACUGCAGGUGGCAUGUCAUAAAAAAGGCGGAAGAGACAUUAGGCCCCUUCUUUGCUACUACCCAACGCAGUGAGGGGUUUAACGCUGUCAUAAAAAGAAGAGACGGGAUGCUCUGCUGCCACGUACUAAGGGUCAUGGACUUCAGUGCUAUAAAAAAAGUGCCAGAUAGGUACAUACUUGAGCGAUGGACUUGGAAUGCUGAUGAAGCACUUUGCCCCCAUGAUGCCCAGGAAGUGCUCGCGGUGCAUGAAGAUGGUCCGAACACAAGUAUGGACACAGUGAGGCAUAUGGUAAUGACAAGAAGAUUUGAACACAUAGCAGACGACGCAUGCAAGCAUGACGAAAUGACCAGGGCAGUAGAGAGGCACACGAAAGCAUUGGAAAUGGAACUAGAGACAAUAAAGAAGAGGAUGGCAGAGGAAGCUCUACAUCGAUUCCCCAAAAAGACCAAAACUGCUACAACUACAUCAACUGGGCCGUCAACAGAUAACUCUGAGGUAGGCUCUGGCGCGUCAAACACGCACACACACGUCCAGAACCCUCCCAGGACAGUCACAAAAGGGCGACCGAAGCAGAUUAGGUACAAAUCAGCACUUGAGAUCCAGGCCAAACACAAAAAUAGUGCAAAGAAAGCAGUUACAGAAGAGUAG